ACACACACACACACAUAUGUACUAGAAAGAACGACAGAUUACAACAUCAGUGAUGUCUCUAUGUUCAUUCCUACACUCGUUUCAAUAAUUCUUGUAUCACAUCAGUAUUAUUAUUAUUAUUAUUCAAUAUGUAAGAAUCACAUUUCCAAGGAACAAUUUCCAUAGAAAAACAUAUGUGUAUGUUUAAUAACUGUUGUUUCAUUAAUAUCAUGGUCUCACAACAAUGUUCAAGAGGCAUUUGGACACAAUGUACUGCUGUAGCGAUUGAGGAAGUAGAAACAUGCUAUAUAUGAGUAAGUAUAUAGAACAAAGGAUGAAUAUGCCUCAAUGGAUUCUAUAAUUCUUUCAAGCAAAAUGAAAUCACUACAUGCACCGUCUCAAUAAUUUACAUAUGUUUUGUAUAAAAAGGAAAUAUUUGUUUCCAUUGCUAAGAAUUUGUAAAUUAUUUCUGGCUGAACUUGGAUAUUUAUUGAUGCUCAAACUGAAAUCAGUCAAGCCUUGAUUACCUUGAUGAGUCCAUGGUAACAGUAAAGAUUGCAACAGUGAAGAAGUAUAUAAGAUCAAUAUAAGAACCAGUUUGAGACAGAAAAGAACAACGGGUCCAUUGCUGGGAUAUGAACCAAGUCUUUAACUCAAUAUAAUAUACACCAACACGCCCCACUCUCUCUCAAAAUAGGGACUUAAAUUAAUUUUUCCAUUACUAUUUUUGAAAUUUUGAGUUAAUUUUAUCUCUACAAGAUAAACUCCAUCUACCUACCUGUAUAUAUAUUGGUCGUUACCAGUACUGCCUGACUGGCCCCUGUG
Molecule: long non-coding RNA, 804 nt
Organism: Octopus sinensis (East Asian common octopus)
Lineage: Eukaryota; Metazoa; Mollusca; Cephalopoda; Octopoda; Octopodidae
Exons: 3
Source: RefSeq, a predicted model, not a curated record